This 1434-nucleotide ribosomal RNA is filed under the name uncultured organism. Its description in RNAcentral is "SSU rRNA". It matches the Rfam family "Bacterial small subunit ribosomal RNA". The record is from RNAcentral.
GAGGCUUAACACAUGCAAGUCGAGGGGCAGCAUUUUAGUUUGCUUGCAAACUGAAGAUGGCGACCGGCGCACGGGUGAGUAACACGUAUCCAACCUGCCGAUAACUCCGGGAUAGCCUUUCGAAAGAAAGAUUAAUACCGGAUAGUAUACGAAUAUCGCAUGAUAUUUUUAUUAAAGAAUUUCGGUUAUCGAUGGGGAUGCGUUCCAUUAGUUUGUUGGCGGGGUAACGGCCCACCAAGACUACGAUGGAUAGGGGUUCUGAGAGGAAGGUCCCCCACAUUGGAACUGAGACACGGUCCAAACUCCUACGGGAGGCAGCAGUGAGGAAUAUUGGUCAAUGGGCGCGAGCCUGAACCAGCCAAGUAGCGUGAAGGAUGAAGGCUCUAUGGGUCGUAAACUUCUUUUAUAUGGGAAUAAAGUUUUCCACGUGUGGAAUUUUGUAUGUACCAUAUGAAUAAGGAUCGGCUAACUCCGUGCCAGCAGCCGCGGUAAUACGGAGGAUCCGAGCGUUAUCCGGAUUUAUUGGGUUUAAAGGGAGCGUAGGUGGAUUGUUAAGUCAGUUGUGAAAGUUUGCGGCUCAACCGUAAAAUUGCAGUUGAAACUGGCAGUCUUGAGUACAGUAGAGGUGGGCGGAAUUCGUGGUGUAGCGGUGAAAUGCUUAGAUAUCACGAAGAACUCCGAUUGCGAAGGCAGCUCACUAGACUGUCACUGACACUGGUGCUCGAAAGUGUGGGUAUCAAACAGGAUUAGAUACCCUGGUAGUCCACACAGUAAACGAUGAAUACUCGCUGUUUGCGAUAUACAGUAAGCGGCCAAGCGAAAGCAUUAAGUAUUCCACCUGGGGAGUACGCCGGCAACGGUGAAACUCAAAGGAAUUGACGGGGGCCCGCACAAGCGGAGGAACAUGUGGUUUAAUUCGAUGAUACGCGAGGAACCUUACCCGGGCUUAAAUUGCAACAGAAUAUAUUGGAAACAGUAUAGCCGUAAGGCUGUUGUGAAGGUGCUGCAUGGUUGUCGUCAGCUCGUGCCGUGAGGUGUCGGCUUAAGUGCCAUAACGAGCGCAACCCUUAUCUUUAGUUACUAACAGGUUAUGCUGAGGACUCUAGAGAGACUGCCGUCGUAAGAUGUGAGGAAGGUGGGGAUGACGUCAAAUCAGCACGGCCCUUACGUCCGGGGCUACACACGUGUUACAAUGGGGGGUACAGAAGGCGGCUACCUGGUGACAGGAUGCUAAUCCCAAAAACCUCUCUCAGUUCGGAUCGAAGUCUGCAACCCGACUUCGUGAAGCUGGAUUCGCUAGUAAUCGCGCAUCAGCCAUGGCGCGGUGAAUACGUUCCCGGGCCUUGUACACACCGCCCGUCAAGCCAUGAAAGCCGGGGGUACCUGAAGUACGUAACCGCAAGGAGCGUCCUAGGGUAAAACUGGUAAUUGGGG